GGCGGCGUGCUAACACAUGCAAGUCGAACGAGAAAGUGGAGCAAUCCAUGAGUAAAGUGGCGACCGGGUGAGUAACACGUGACUAACCUACCUCCGAGUGGGGAAUAACUCCGGGAAACCGGGGCUAAUACCGCAUAACAUCGCAAGAUCAAAGCAGCAAUGCGCUUGGAGAGGGGGUCGCGGCUGAUUAGCUCGUUGGCGGGGUAACGGCCCACCAAGGCGAAGAUCGGUAUCCGGCCUGAGAGGGCGCACGGACACACUGGAACUGAAACACGGUCCAGACUCCUACGGGAGGCAGCAGUGGGGAAUUUUGCGCAAUGGGGGAGACCCUGACGCAGCAACGCCGCGUGGAGGAUGAAGCCCUUUGGGGCGUAAACUCCUUUCGACUCGGACGAUAAUGACGGUACGAGUGGAAGAAGCACCGGCUAACUCUGUGCCAGCAGCCGCGGUAAUACAGAGGGUGCGAGCGUUGUUCGGAAUUAUUGGGCGUAAAGGGCGCGUAGGCGGUGCGGUAAGUCACCUGUGAAAUCUCCUGNCUUAACUGGGAGUCUGCAGGCGAAACUACCGUGCUGGAGU
Molecule: ribosomal RNA, 576 nt
Filed under: uncultured bacterium
Lineage: Bacteria
Description: bacterial SSU rRNA
Rfam family: Bacterial small subunit ribosomal RNA
Source: RNAcentral